GACAGAGGGUGCAAACGUGUUCGGAAUUACUGGGCGUAAAGCGCGUGUAGGCGGCUAAGUAAGUCGGGCGUGAAAUCCCACGGCUCAACCGUGGAAGUGCACUCGAAACUGCAUAGCUAGAGUCCUGGAGAGGAAGGUGGAAUGCUUGGUGUAGAGGUGAAAUUCGUAGAUAUCAAGCGGAACACCGGUGGCGAAGGCGGCCUUCUGGACAGUGACUGACGCUGAGACGCGAAAGCGUGGGGAGCAAACAGGG
RNAcentral lists this ribosomal RNA (253 nucleotides) under uncultured bacterium. RNAcentral's name for it is "partial 16S ribosomal RNA". It matches the Rfam family "Bacterial small subunit ribosomal RNA", at positions 524 to 777 of the family's 1533-position model. The record is from RNAcentral.